ACAUGCAAGUCGAACGAACUCUGGUAUUGAUUGGUGCUUGCAUCAUGAUUUACAUUUGAGUGAGUGGCGAACUGGUGAGUAACACGUGGGAAACCUGCCCAGAAGCGGGGGAUAACACCUGGAAACAGAUGCUAAUACCGCAUAACAACUUGGACCGCAUGGUCCGAGUUUGAAAGAUGGCUUCGGCUAUCACUUUUGGAUGGUCCCGCGGCGUAUUAGCUAGAUGGUGGGGUAACGGCUCACCAUGGCAAUGAUACGUAGCCGACCUGAGAGGGUAAUCGGCCACAUUGGGACUGAGACACGGCCCAAACUCCUACGGGAGGCAGCAGUAGGGAAUCUUCCACAAUGGACGAAAGUCUGAUGGAGCAACGCCGCGUGAGUGAAGAAGGGUUUCGGCUCGUAAAACUCUGUUGUUAAAGAAGAACAUAUCUGAGAGUAACUGUUCAGGUAUUGACGGUAUUUAACCAGAAAGCCACGGCUAACUACGUGCCAGCAGCCGCGGUAAUACGUAGGUGGCAAGCGUUGUCCGGAUUUAUUGGGCGUAAAGCGAGCGCAGGCGGUUUUUUAAGUCUGAUGUGAAAGCCUUCGGCUCAACCGAAGAAGUGCAUCGGAAACUGGGAAACUUGAGUGCAGAAGAGGACAGUGGAACUCCAUGU
RNAcentral lists this ribosomal RNA (656 nucleotides) under Lactiplantibacillus plantarum. Its description in RNAcentral is "bacterial SSU rRNA". It matches the Rfam family "Bacterial small subunit ribosomal RNA", at positions 53 to 674 of the family's 1533-position model. The record is from RNAcentral. Lineage: Bacteria; Bacillati; Bacillota; Bacilli; Lactobacillales; Lactobacillaceae.